UGGGGAAUAUUGCACAAUGGGGGAAACCCUGAUGCAGCGACGCCGCGUGAAGGAAGAAGUAUUUCGGUAUGUAAACUUCUAUCAGCAGGGAAGAAAAUGACGGUACCUGACUAAGAAGCUCCGGCUAAAUACGUGCCAGCAGCCGCGGUAAUACGUAUGGAGCAAGCGUUAUCCGGAUUUACUGGGUGUAAAGGGAGCGUAGGCGGUAGGGCAAGUCUGAUGUGAAACUCCGGGGCUCAACUCCGGACUUGCAUUGGAAACUGUCAGACUGGAGUGCGGGAGAGGCAGGCGGAAUUCCUAGUGUAGCGGUGAAAUGCGUAGAUAUUAGGAGGAACACCAGUGGCGAAGGCGGCCUGCUGGACCGUAACUGACGCUGAGGCUCGAAAGCGUGGGGAGCGAACAGG
This 404-nucleotide ribosomal RNA is filed under the name uncultured bacterium. RNAcentral's name for it is "bacterial SSU rRNA". It matches the Rfam family "Bacterial small subunit ribosomal RNA", at positions 355 to 776 of the family's 1533-position model. The record is from RNAcentral. RNAcentral also lists the same sequence under 1 other name.